CCCUUCCAGAUUCCAUACCCCUCAGAUCUCAAUAUUGGCCUGAGUGGCUUAAAAAAGGAGGGAAAGUAAACCUGAAGUGGACUUGGGGUCUUUAAUGACACACAAGUUCAUUUCAAACAUAA
Molecule: small nucleolar RNA, 122 nt
Filed under: Echinops telfairi (small Madagascar hedgehog)
Lineage: Eukaryota; Metazoa; Chordata; Mammalia; Afrosoricida; Tenrecidae
Description: Small nucleolar RNA SNORA61 (ENSETEG00000024355.1)
Source: RNAcentral